Molecule: ribosomal RNA, 667 nt
Filed under: uncultured bacterium
Lineage: Bacteria
Description: bacterial SSU rRNA
Rfam family: Bacterial small subunit ribosomal RNA
Source: RNAcentral
CCUACCCUUGAGUGGGGGAUAACGAUUGGAAACGAUCGCUAAUACCGCAUACGACCUUUGAUGCGAGAGCAUCGAAGAUGAAAGAUUUAUUGCUCAAGGAGGGGCCCGCGGUCGAUUAGCUAGUUGGUGGGGUAAUGGCCUACCAAGGCUGUGAUCGAUAGCUGGUCUGAGAGGGUGAUCCCCCACACUGGUACUGAGACACGGACCAGACUCCUACGGGAGGCAGCAGUGAGGAAUAUUGGUCAAUGGGCGUAAGCCUGAACCAGCCAUCCCGCGUGCAGGAAGACGGCGCUAUGCGUUGUAAACUGCUUUUCCAGGGGAAGAAAACCUGAUACGAGUAUCGGCUUGCCGGUACCCUGGGAAUAAGCAUCGGCUAACUCCGUGCCAGCAGCCGCGGUAAUACGGAGGAUGCGAGCGUUAUCCGGAUUUAUUGGGUUUAAAGGGUGCGUAGGCGGAUUAAUAAGUCAGUGGUGAAAACCUGCAGCUUAACUGUAGAAUUGCCAUUGAUACUGUUAGUCUUGAGUACGGUCAAGGUAGGCGGAAUGUGUAAUGUAGCGGUGAAAUGCUUAGAUAUUACACAGAACACCGAUUGCGAAGGCAGCUUACUGGGCCAUUACUGACGCUGAUGCACGAAAGCGUGGGGAGCGAACAGGAUUAGAUACCCUGG